RNAcentral lists this ribosomal RNA (464 nucleotides) under uncultured bacterium. Its description in RNAcentral is "bacterial SSU rRNA". It matches the Rfam family "Bacterial small subunit ribosomal RNA", at positions 355 to 825 of the family's 1533-position model. The record is from RNAcentral.
UAAGGAAUAUUGCGCAAUGGGCGAAAGCCUGACGCAGCGACGCCGCGUGGGGGAUGAAGGUCUUCGGAUUGUAAACCCCUUUCGGGAGGGAAGAUGGAAUGGGGUAACCCAUUCGGACGGUACCUCCAGAAGCAGCCACGGCUAACUUCGUGCCAGCAGCCGCGGUAAUACGAAGGUGGCAAGCGUUAUUCGGAUUUACUGGGCGUACAGGGAGCGUAGGCGGUUCGGUAAGCCCUUUGUGAAAUCUCCAGGCUUAACCUGGAACAGUCGGAGGGGACUGCCGGGCUAGAGGACGGGAGAGGAGCGCGGAAUUCCCGGUGUAGCGGUGAAAUGCGUAGAGAUCGGGAGGAAGGCCGGUGGCGAAGGCGGCGCUCUGGAACGUUUCUGACGCUGAGGCUCGAAAGCGUGGGGAGCAAACAGGAUUAGAUACCCUGGUAGUCCCUGAGCGGGCUGGCAAGGCGCAU